This 3923-nucleotide long non-coding RNA is filed under the name Homo sapiens (human). RNAcentral describes it as "HSALNT0255385". Lineage: Eukaryota; Metazoa; Chordata; Mammalia; Primates; Hominidae. The record is from RNAcentral.
CCCGUUUCUACUAAAAAUACAAAAAUUAGUCGGGCGUGGUCGCUGGUGCCUGUAAACCCAGCUACUCAGGAGGUUGAGGCAGGAGAAUCGCUUGAACCUGGGAGGUGGAGGUUGCAGUGAGCCGAGAUUGCACCAAGUGUGAAUCAACCGUCCACUUUCUGCUAUUCUUUGUUAAAUAAAUACUUUUAAAUCCUUACUGGAUACCAAUGCUCUCCAACAGGACCUCCUACCACUACCCCUCUUUUGUCCUAUAUUUUGCCACAUAGGUAAAAUAUAAAAAUAGGUAAUAUAGAAAAUAAAACACAUACUGCUGUAUUGUCAGGUAGUGAUAGGAUUUAUCACUACCUGACAAUACAGUAUGUGUUUGUUUUAUAUAUUUAGGGUGUACAGCGUGUGUUUUGAUACACAUGUACCCAGUGAAAUAAUAAUUAUGACAGUUUUUUUUUUUUUUUUUGAGACGGAGUUUUGCUGUCGUUGCCCAGGCUGAAGUGCAAUGGUGUGCUCUCGGCUCACUGCAGCCUCUGCCUCCCGGGUUCAAGCGAUUCUCAUGCCUCAGCCUCCCGAAUAGCUGGGAUUACAGGCAUGCACCACCAUGCUUGGCUAAUUUUUUUGUAUUUUUAGUAGAGACGGGGUUUCUCCAUGUUGGUCAGGCUGAUCUCGAACUCCUGACCUCAGGUGAUUCGCCCACCUUGGCCUCCCAAAGUGCUGGGAUUACAGGCAUUUUCACCACACAUGGCCAAUUAUGAGAGUUAAGCAAUUAACCUAUCCAUUGCCUUCCAUAAUUAACUGUGUGUGUAGUGAGAGUAUCUAAAAUGUACUUUCUUGGCAAAUUUUCAAUAUACUAUGCAAAAUUAUUAACACAAAGUAUACGUUACUUUUUGUUUGUUUGUUUUGGCUGGCUGCGGUGGCUUAUGCCUAAAAACAUGCCCUUUGAGGAGGCUGAGGUGGGAGGAUCACUUGAGGCCAGGAGCUAGAGACCAGCCUAGGCAACAUGUCAAAACCCAGUCUCUCAAAAAAAAAAAAAAAAAAAGAAAAAAAGGAAAAAAAAGAGAAAAGGAAAAAAAAGAAAAGAACAACAACAAAAAUUAGCCAGAUGUGGUGCAUCAUGCCAGGGUCCCAGAUACUUGGGAGGCCAAGGCGGGAGGAUCAUUCGAGCCUGGGAAAUCGAGGCUGCAGUGAGCCAUGAUCACCCCACUGCACUCCAGCUUGGGUAACAGAGCAAGACCCUGUCUCAAAAAAAAAAAAGCCUUGCUUUCCUGACCCAUUGAUCUGUUUGUUUUUUGUCCUCUGUCAGCAGCAUAUCAGCCUGAUGACAUCAGGGACUGUAUCUGUCCCCAUCAUUGCUGUAAGUUCCCCACUGCUGAAUAAAUACGUUUAUUUAUUCAGUGGUGAAUAAUCUAAGCCUAGAGUCAAUGUACUAGUUAUUAGAGCAGAUGCCAUUAUCGCCUCUUGGAUCUCAUUCCCAGGGUGUUCAUUGGGCAUCUGUCAAAAAAACAAAAUUACAACACAUUUAGUUUAAAGAUCUUAAUUGAUUUUAUUUGCAAUUCUACAAUCGGGCAACACUUCAUUUCACAAAAUGAAACUAAUUUUCCCAUGAGCUGAGCAGGUAGGUUGGUUUUACAGGCAGAAAAAGGGCCAAGUAAAGCACAAACAGAAAAUAAAACGUGGAGGUCAGGUGCAGUGGCUCAUGCCUGUAAUCCCAGCACUUUGGAGGCCGAGGCAGGCAGAUCACCCGAGGUCAGGAGUUCGAGACCAGCUUGACCAACAUGAUAAUGAUGAUGAAACCCUAUCUCUACUAACAAUACAAAAAUAUUAGCCGGGCGCGGUGGCAGGUGCCUGUAAUCCCAGCUACUCAGGAGGUUGAGGCAGGAGAAUCACUUGAACCAGGGAGGCGGAGGUUGCAGUGAGCGAAGAUCACACCAUUGCACUCCAGCCUGGGAGAGCAGAGCAAAACUCCGACUCAAAAAAAAAGAAAAAAAGAAAAGAAAACUUGGAUUGGUCAUUUUAAAGUUUCCUUUUGGAGUCUGAGUCUUGCUCUGUCACCCAGGCUGGAGUGCAGUGGUGCGAUCAUAGCUCACUGCAACCUCAACUUCCUGGGAUCAAGCAAUCUUCCCACCUCAGCCUCCUGAGGAGCUAGGAUCACAGGUGUGUGCCACCAUGCCCAGCUAAUUUUUUUUUUCCAGAGACAGGGUCUUGCCUUGUUGGCCAGGCUGGAUUUGAACUCCUGAACUCAAGCAAUCCUCCUGCCUUGGCCUCCCAAAGUGCUGGGAUUACAGGCAUGAGCCACCACCGCACUCAGCCCAAAGUUACUUUUCUUGUAAAGGUUAAAGCAGAGAGGACAUCCUUAUCAUGAUGGCUAAAACUGACCUGGUGGGAGACUUGGCUAUCCCAUCUCUCUCUCUCCUGAUUUUGUAGAAGGUCAGAUAAACAACUUAGUUUCUUUUUGAUCACGUAAAACUUUAGCAUGAGUGACUCCAUUUUGGUUUAGUUUGUUGGGCCUGGUGUAGGAAGUCAGUCCAAAGUAAUAGCCUCCUAUAAGUUUUGUAUAACACAUCCUGUGUCCAGAUUGGUGGGUUCUUGGUCUUGCUGACUCCAAGAAUGAAGCCACAGACCCUCCGGUGAGUGUUACGGUUCUGAAAGAUGGUGUGUCCAGAGUUUGUUCCUUCUGAUAUUCAGACAUGUCUAGAGUUUCUUGCUUCUGGUGGGCUUUUGGUCUCGCUGACUUCAGGAGUGAAACUGCAGACCUUUGCGGUGAGUGUUACAGCUCAUAAAGGCAGUGCGCACCCAAAGAGUGAGCAGCAGCAGGAUUUACUGGGAAGAGUGAAAGAACAAAGUUUCCACAGCAUGGAAGGGGACCCAAGCACGUUGCCGCUGCUGGCUGCGGUGUCCUGCUUUUAUUCCCUUAUUUGGCCCCACCUACAUCCUGCUGAUUGGUCCAUUUUACAGAGAGCUGAUUGGUCCACUUUACAGAGUGCUGAUUGGUCCGUUUUACAGAGUGCUGAUUGGUCCGUUUUGACAGAGUGCUGAUUGGUGCAUUUACAAACCUUUAGCUAGACACAGAGUGCUGAUUGGUGCAUUUACAAUCCUUUAGCUAGACAGGAAAGUUCUCUAAGUCCCCUACGCGAUUAGUUAGACACAGAGCGCUGAUUGGUGCAUUUACAAACCUUUAGCUAGACACAGAGCGCUGAUUGGUGCAUUUGCAAUCCUUUAGCUAGACAGAAAAGUUCUCCAAGUCCCUACUCAACCAAGAAGCCCAGCCGGCUUCACCUCUCAAUCACCCCUCUAAACAGAACACCCCAACUGCUGUUGGGAAUUUGGCCGAUGACCACUCUAGCUACUUCCUGCUGGAAGAAGGGGCCCUGCAAUUGUAGUGUCCUCCAGAGGGGAACUCUUUAGGCCAGUGGAAGGGCCAGUGGGUCGGUCCAGGGGUCCUCAGUAGAAGUUGUUAGUUGAACUCAUUUGGGGUUCCAUUUUUAAGACCAUCUGUAGCUUGAUGGCCUCGAUUCUAGAAGAAACAAAUUUGACAAGAAGGUUAAAAAUGCAGGGCCCAAAGGUGAGUAAGAGCAAGAUGGCUGCCACAGGACCUAGGGGAGAAGCCAUGUUGCCCAACUCCAGAGGUUGGUAUUAGAGUUCGAAAGGCAUUGUCUGAUUUCAGAAGCCUUUUCCUGUAAAUGCCAGGUGGCAUCUCGUGCUAUCCCUGACUGUUUAGUGUAAAAACAACACUCUUCCCCUAAGAAGGUGCAGAGUCCUCCUUUCUCAGCAGUGAGGAGGUCUAGGCCUCAGUGGUUUUGGAGAGUUGCUGCUGCCAAAGAGUAUAUUUGGGAUUGUAGAGUAAGGAUAGAUUUUGUUAUUUCUUACAAACUGUCUGAGAAAUCCUUUGAAGGUGUAUGGUAGUAGAAUAAUGAAGUGGAUAAACUGGCUAU